GUGGGGAAUAUUGGACAAUGGGCGAAAGCCUGAUCCAGCCAUGCCGCGUGUGUGAAGAAGGUCUUCGGAUUGUAAAGCACUUUAAGUUGGGAGGAAGGGCAGUAAGUUAAUACCUUGCUGUUUUGACGUUACCGACAGAAUAAGCACCGGCUAACUUCGUGCCAGCAGCCGCGGUAAUACGAAGGGUGCAAGCGUUAAUCGGAAUUACUGGGCGUAAAGCGCGCGUAGGUGGUUUUGUAAGUUGGAGGUGAAAUCCCCGGGCUCAACCUGGGAACUGCCUCCAAAACUGCAUGACUAGAGUACGGUAGAGGGUAGUGGAAUUUCCUGUGUAGCGGUGAAUUGCGUAGAUAUAGGAAGGAACACCAGUGGCGAAGGCGACUACCUGGACUGAUACUGACACUGAGGUGCGAAAGCGUGGGGAGCAAACAGGAUUAGAUACCCUUGUAGUCC
This 450-nucleotide ribosomal RNA is filed under the name uncultured bacterium. RNAcentral describes it as "partial 16S ribosomal RNA". It matches the Rfam family "Bacterial small subunit ribosomal RNA", at positions 354 to 796 of the family's 1533-position model. The record is from RNAcentral.